This is a non-coding RNA of Pongo abelii (Sumatran orangutan), 51 nucleotides long. NCBI's taxonomy places the organism in Eukaryota, Metazoa, Chordata, Mammalia, Primates, Hominidae. The record is from Rfam.
UUAAUGGCUUUUUUUUAAGCAAAGCCACAUAAUAAAGUUAAAAAAAAAAAG